UAUUUGUUGUGUUUUGUGAAAAGAAUAUUACCAGAGAGCAGAGAAGGAGCAAGUAUCUCACUGUAGUGAAAUGGUAGUCAGCUAGCUUGCCGAUGUUUAUUUCCCCGGCUGUUUUUCACCUGAUUAUGAACUGAGACUUGAUGAGUCAUAUUCCAUAACACUUAGAUUCAAACGGACACACUAAUGUUAUUGUAGAAAUAUAACCUAUCACUGGUAUAACAUUGGCCACACAACUUUCUUGUCAUGUGGAAUUAACGCAUGUUAAAGCAGCGUGCUAUGUAGCGAACUAGCUGCUGUGUUUGUGAUACUGAGCUCGCUGCAUUUCACUGUGUAGCAGCUUUUGUGUAGUGAAGCUUUAUUCAUGGCAGAGUAACUGUUAGCUUAGCUGAGUUCAAUGUGAAAGCAACUUGCCAACACAGUGUAUUAUUCACAUGUAAUUCAACAAAAGUAAGAUACCUCUCGUAUCUCAUAUCCCGCUUACUUACAAUAAAGGCAACAGAACAUCUGACCUUAGAAUGGUUUGCAAACAAGCUUAUUUACAAUUUCAGCAACUUUCGGUUCAUCAUCAACAAUAUUCAUCAACAUAGGAGUUUUGUUUAAGAAAGGUGAAGAAAGAAAAUAAGCUUGAACUUCUUUGUGAAAUGUUUUUGUGUAGACUCUCCCAAAUCUUCCGUUUUCAUUUUGAAGGUUUCCAAAGGACAAACAUGUGAGGAAGAAGUGGCUUUGAGGGGAGAUGGACUUACAGCAAGUGAUUCAUCAGUGCUUCGCUGUGAACACUUCAAGCAGAGGGACUUUGAUAAGACGGGUCAGAUUGUCCCACUCCGAGAUGGUGUUAUUCCAUCAGUCUUCAGCUUCCCGGUUCACCUCCAAAAAGAUCGUGGUCACGCCUGCUCCUCCUACCGCUCUUAAGACGAGACUCAACGAAGCCUUGGCAGGAGUGGGUUACAAGUGGAGAGUUACAUUCUGCACUGCAUGGUUAGUUAGACCCUCUUUGGUGCAAACACCCGGCGUUCUGUUGAAGUUAUUUGUGUGCAUGUGUGUGCGUGCUUGCAAAUAUUCAAU
Gasterosteus aculeatus aculeatus (three-spined stickleback) is the source of this 1062-nucleotide long non-coding RNA. The record is from Ensembl. Lineage: Eukaryota; Metazoa; Chordata; Actinopteri; Perciformes; Gasterosteidae.